Molecule: long non-coding RNA, 3105 nt
Organism: Neofelis nebulosa (Clouded leopard)
Lineage: Eukaryota; Metazoa; Chordata; Mammalia; Carnivora; Felidae
Exons: 2
Source: RefSeq, a predicted model, not a curated record
CACAGAAUCCGAAGCAGGCCCCAGGCUCCGAGCUGUCAGCACAGAGCCUGACGCGGGGCUGGAACUUACGGACCGUGAGAUCAUGACCUGAGCCGAAGUCGGAUGCUUAACCGACUGAGCCACCCAGGCCCCCCCCCAAGUCCACUUUCAAAUAACACUAAACCGCCUCAACCGUAGUGCCAGUAACUUAUGCAAGUGUUCCUAGCUACUCCCUUCUGUUACAGCACUGCUGUUAUUCAUGUGGAGUAUCCAUAAGCUGUAAUCAUCGAAUACAUUGUUGCUGCUCUUAUUUUGAACAAACUGUUAUCUGUUAACUGUUAACAAGUAGAAUAAGAAAAAUAAAGGGGUGCCUGGCUGGCUUAGCUGGUAGAGCAUGUGACUCUGGAUCGCAGGGUUGUAAGUUUGAGCCCCACAUCGGGUGUAGCUAUUACUUAAACAAAACAAAAAAAAAAGAAAAAGAAUUUAUUUUGCCUUCAUUUAUUCCUUCUGACACUCCCUUAUGUAGGUCUGAAUUUAUGACCUGUAUCUUUUUUUUUUUUUUUUUUUUUUCUCUCUGAAGAACUUCUCAUAUCUUGCAAGGCAGGUCUAUUGGUGAUAAAUAUCCUCAAUUUUGUUUUCUGGGAAAGCCCAUAUUUCUCCUUCACUUUAAAGGAUAAUUUUGCUGGUGUAGAAUUCCAGGUUGGUGGGGUUUUUUUUUCUUUCAGUGCUUUAAAUAUUUCACUCUACUUUCCUUGCUUGCAUGGUACCUGAGGAGAAAUCCAAUAUAGUUCUUUGUUCUUCUGUAGGUAAGGUGUUUUCUUUUCCCUACCUCAGACUUCUUCCUUGACUUUCUUUGUCUUGAUUUUCUGCAAUUUGAAAUAUAAUGUGACUAGGUGUAGUUUUUUUUUUUGUUUUUUUUUAAUUUCAAUCCAAGUAUAGUUAACAUACAGUGUUAUAUUAGUUUCAGGUGUACAAUGUAUUACUCAGUACUCAUCAUAAGUGUACUUUUUUUAAUGUUUAUUUUUGGGAGAGAGAGAGUGAGUGAGCAUGAGCAGGGUAGAGGCAGAAAGAGGGAGACAGAGGAUCUGAAGCAGGCUCCACACUGUGAGUGCAAAACCCAAUUAGGGGCUUGAACUCAUGACUGUGAGAUCAUGACCUAAGCCGAAAUCAAGAGUCGGCCACUUAACCAACUGAGCCAUGCAGGUGCCCCAUGGUAAGUGUACUCUUAAUCCACUUACCUGUUCCAUCCAUUCUUCUACCCACCUCUGCUCUGGUAACCAUCAGUUUGUUCUCUAUAGUUAAGAGUCUGUUUUUUUAUCUUUUUUCUUUGUUCAUUUGUUUUGUUUUUAAAUUCCACAUAUAAGUGGAGACGUAUGGUAUUUGUUUUUCUCCGACUUAUUUCACUUAGCAUAAUACUCUGUAGGUCCAUCCAUGUUGUUGCAAAUGUCAAGAUUUCAUUUUUUUUUUAUGGCUGAGUAAUAUUCCAUUGUACACAUAUACCACAUCUUUUUUUUUUUUAUCCAUUCAUCUAUCCGUGGAUACUUGGGCUGCUUCUGUAAUUUGGCUAUUGUAAAUAAUGCUGUAAUAAACAUAGGGGUGCACAUAUCUUCUCAAAUUAGUGUUUCUAUAUUCUCUGAGUAAAUACCCAGUAGUGGAAUUUCUGGGUCAUAUGGUAAUUCUAUUUUUAAUUUUUUGAGGAACUUCCAUACUGUUUCCAUAGUGGCUAUAACAGUUUGUAUUCCUAUCUAGGUGUAGUUUUGUUUUUUUUUUUCUUCAAAGUUUAUUUAUUUUUGAGAGGGAGGGAGAGAGAGAGAAGGGGGAAGGACAGAGAGAGAGAGAGAAAGAGAGAGAGAGUCCCAAGCAUGCUCUGUGCUUUCAGUGCAGAGGCUGAUGUAGGGCUCAAACUCCGCGAACUUCGAGUUCAUGACCUAAGCUGAAAUCCAGAGUCAGACGCCUAAGUGACUGAGCCACCCAGGCUCACCUAGAUUGUUUUUUUAAGAUUUUUUUUAAUCUUAUUUUUUUUAACGUUUAUUUAUUAUUGAGAGACAGACAGACAGAUAGAGCAUGAGCAGGGGAGGGGCAGAGAGACGGGGAUGCACAGAAUCUGAAGCAGGCUCCAGGCUCUGAGCUGUCAGCACAGAGCCCAACGCGGGGCUCGAACUCAUGAACUGUGAGAUCAUGAUCUGAGCUGAAGUCAGACACUCAACUGACUGAGCUACCCAGGUGCCCCUAGAUUUUUAAAAAAGAUUUAUUUCUAAGUAAUCUACACCCAAUGUGGGGCUUGAACCCACCACCCCGAAAUCAAAAGUCAUAUGCUCCAUUGACUGAGCCAGCCAAGCACCCUUAGGUGUAGAUUUUUUGGUAGUUAUCCUUCUUGGUGUUUUCUGAGCCUCUUGGACUUGUGGUUUGAUGUCUGUAAUUCAUUUUGGAAAAUUCUCAGUCAUUAUUGCUACAAAUAUUUCUUCUGUUCCCUCCCCUCUUCAUCUUCUGCAUUCCCAUUACAUGUAUGUUACACCUUAUGUAAUUGCCCCAGCGUUCUUGGAUUUUCUGUUCUGGUUUUUUCAUUUUACUUUUUCUCUACUUUUCAGUUGGGGAGUUUUCUACUGACACAUAUUUAAGCUCACUGAUUCUUUCCUUGACCAUGUCCAAGGUACCAAUGAGCUUAUGAAAGGAAUUCUCAGGGGUGCCUGGCUAGUACAGUCAGUAGAGCAUGUGACUCUCAGUCUCCCAGUCAUGAGUUCAAACCCCACAUUGGGCAUGGAGCCUACUUUUUAAAACAAAAAGAGGGGCGGGGGCCCCUUCGCUCAGUUGGUUAAGCAUCCAUCCAAUUCUUGAUUUUGGUUCAGGUCAUGAUCUCAUGGUUCGUGAGUUUGAGCCCUGCGUCAGGCUCCGCACUGACAGCACAGAGCAUGCUUGGGGUUCUUUUUCUCUCUUCCCCUCCCAUAUGCUCUCUUUCUCAAAAUAAAUACAUAAAUUAAAAAGUAUAUAUUAAAAAUAAAAGGAGUUUGACACUCACCAUAUUAAAUGGGGUGCUUGGCUUGCUUCGUUGGUAGACCAUGCAACUCUUGAUCUCAGGGUUGUGAGUUUGAGCCCCACGUUGGGUGUGGAGAUCACUUAAAAUCUUUU